GUGGCUGUAGCUCAGUUGGCAGAGCACCGGGUUGUGGUCCCGGGUGUCGUGGGUUCAAAUCCCAUCAGUCACCCCA
Molecule: transfer RNA, 76 nt
Filed under: Micromonospora echinospora
Lineage: Bacteria; Bacillati; Actinomycetota; Actinomycetes; Micromonosporales; Micromonosporaceae
Also listed under: 68 other names
Description: tRNA_His_GTG
Rfam family: tRNA
About the family: Transfer RNA (tRNA) molecules are approximately 80 nucleotides in length. Their secondary structure includes four short double-helical elements and three loops (D, anti-codon, and T loops).
Source: RNAcentral